Triticum aestivum (bread wheat) is the source of this 135-nucleotide non-coding RNA. The record is from Rfam. NCBI's taxonomy places the organism in Eukaryota, Viridiplantae, Streptophyta, Magnoliopsida, Poales, Poaceae.
CAAAUACUCCCUACGUCCGAAAAUACUUGUCAUCAAAAUGGAUAAAAAGGGAUGAAUCUAGAACUAAACUACAUCUAGAUACAUCCCCUUUUAUUCAUUUUGAUGAUAAGUAUUUCCGGACGGAGGGAGUAAUAU